This 3380-nucleotide ribosomal RNA is filed under the name Cavenderia fasciculata. RNAcentral's name for it is "eukaryotic LSU rRNA". It matches the Rfam family "Eukaryotic large subunit ribosomal RNA", at positions 19 to 2935 of the family's 3401-position model. The record is from RNAcentral. Lineage: Eukaryota; Evosea; Eumycetozoa; Acytosteliales; Cavenderiaceae.
GAUUACCCGCUGAACUUAAGCAUAUCAGUAAGCGGAGGAAAAGAAACUAACAAGGAUUCCCCCAGUAAUGGCGAAUGAACAGGGAAAAGCCCAAGGUUGAAUCCUGAGAGCGCACGCUCAAGGGAAAUGUAACCCACGGACUGGUAGCCGUGUAAGGUAUUAGUAGGCGCGACAAUCGUUCUGAAAAGGACAGCCAGAGAGGGUGAUAGCCCCGUAGUUAGUCGUUUGCUAUUAUUUUGCAUGAGUUAUUGGAUCCACGAGUAGGUAUGCUUGGCAUCGCAUGCUGAAGAUGGGAGUGAUGUCACUUCUAAGGCUAAAUAUCCUUCGAGAGACCGAUAGCAUACAAGUACCGUGAGGGAAAGGUGCAAAGAACUCUGAAAAGAGAGUUAAAAGAGCUUGAGACCCGGUGUGUGGAAGCGUUUGUCAUGCCUUACAACAGAAAGGGCUUCUAAUGGGGCUUCACUUGGCUAUUGUCAGGAAACUGAUGGUGGUUGAUGGGGGUUUACCAAUGGGUAGUCUUGUUGACAGCUGUAGUUGGCCACAUCUUUAGCUGGUCUUUAAUGGAAGAUGGUCAUUCGUGACCUCCCUUUAUUAGAGGCUUAGCACUGUGGAGGAAGAUUGGCACCAACUCAUACUGAUCCCUGAUGAGGGGCGGCGAGCCAAUUUGGCCCGAUGCGUUUUCAUUUGUAGGUAAUCGAUUCUUUGGUUAGGGUUCCUUCCUUCGGGAGGUGGGCUCGCUUUGGAGUUUAUUAUUUGCAAAUUGGAGGCCUUUGAGCAAGGUUCGUCGUUAAAGGUGGCUGGGAAAAGGAAGGUCAAACGUCCCGUCUUGAAACACGGAUCAAGGAGGCUACUCUAUGCGCGAGUCUAAGGGUUCUUUAGAACACCCGUAGGCGUAACGAAGGUGAGAGAUCUACUAAAGUUGGGGCGAAAGCUUCUACUGUCAGUAGAGCCCUGGUCACGAGUGCAACCAGCUACUCAAAAGAUCGGUGGUAGAGCGCAUAUAGUAGGACCCGAAAGGGGGUGAACUAUGCCUGUGAAAGGCGAAGCCAGUGGAAACACUGGUGGAGGCUUGUAGCGGUACUGACGUGCAAAUCGUUCGUCUGACAUGGGUAUAGGGGCGAAAGACUAAUCGAACCCCCUAGUAGCUGGUUCCUUCCGAAGUUUCUCUCAGGAUAGCAUGUGGGGAGGCACAAAUAAAAAAACUAGUACCAUCUUGUAAAGAGAAUGGUUAGCAGACUCGGGGACGCAAUGUCCUCAGCUGAUUCCCAAACUCUGAACGGGUGGAAAGACCUCUGUCAUAGCAGCAGAGGGGUCUUUAAGUGGUCUUGCAAAUUACUUUUAGGCUUAUUCAUAGCCCCUACAUAGUGGGCCAUUGUUGGUAAGCAAAAAUGGCGAUGUGGAAUCAACCAAAAGCCGGGAUAAGGGGCCAAACGGCUCCCUUAUAGGUUCCAAAAAAGGUGUUAGUUCAUAGAGACAGCUGGACUGUGGCCAUGGAAGUCGGCAUCAGCUAAGAAGUGUGUAACAACUUACCAGCCGAAUGAACUAGCCCUGAAAAUGGAUGGCACUCAAUGGAGCGCCCGAUGCCCGGCUACCUAGCGGAGUCUGUGCCUCGACGUCGCUAGGCAAGUAGGAAGGUGUGUUGGUGGCGCUCAAGUCUUCAAUGGGAAACCGUAGAUGGAGCCGCCAAUAGUACAGAUCUUGAUGGUAGUAGCAUUAAAAUCACACGGAUAACUCCAUGGUGUGAUGGCCUAGGUAGAGAAGGGUUCCAUGGCAAUGGAAUUCAACCAUGGGUUAGCCGUCCCUAAGGCAUAAGGGAAACCUUAUAAUUGGCAUCAUAUGCCUAUCUUUCAAGGUGUCAAAGCUGAGAAGGGUAGGGACAGGACAUGUGAUGGAUUGCCGAAAGGGAAGGGGGUUAAUAUUCCUCCGCCAGUUAAUGGGUUACAUAGUGGGUAACCUAACGUCUUUGGUUUAUCUAAUUGCGUCCAAGGAAGAGUUAUCUUUUCUUUUUAACACGUGUGCUUUUAAAGGGUCAGGGGCAACUUUGAUUCUUUAUUGGUGUACCUGUCCUCUGAAUGACGUCAAGUCGAGAAGAGGAUGGGGCCGUGGAAGAGCCGUUACAUUCUCCCCUGUUUCAGGUCUUGUGCUCGCGAUUAGGUCCUUGAAAGGCCAUUGUACGCUGUGCUUUGUAGUAGCAAUAUUGCAGGGCGUGCCUAUUAACUGUUCGUACCAAUUACCGCAUCAGGUCUCUAAGGAGUCAAUCCUCUGGCCUUUGUAACAAUGUAGAUAAGGGAAGUCGGCAAAACCGAUCCGUAACUUCGGGAUAAGGAUUGGCUCUAAAGACUGGUGGCGAUCGACUCGAAAGGUACUGUAGGCAAAGUCGUUGGACCUGGGCAACUGGGUCUGAUAGCCGAGUUUACUUUAUCGGUUGAGGUAGGGGCAACUCUACACGAUCCCACAACGUAGCAGCUCGCUUUAGAACUGUUGCGAUCACGGGGAAUCUAACUGUUUAAUUAAAACAAAGCCCCUGGAAAAGGCGAAAGCCUGUUGACCAGGGGUGAUUCCUGCCCAGUGCUCUGAAUGUCAAAGUGAAGAGAUUCAACCUAGCACGGGUAAACGGCGGGAGUAACUAUGACUCUCUUAAGGUAGCCAAAUGCCUCGUCAUCUAAUUAGUGACGCGCAUGAAUGGAUAAAUGAGAUUCCCACUGUCCCUAACUACCAUACAGCGAAACCACAGCCAAGGGAACGGGCUUGGCAUCAAUAGCGGGGAAAGAAGACCCUGUUGAGCUUGACUCUAGUCUGAUUCGCGUAGUGACCCAGGAGGUGUAGAAUAGGCGGGAGCCGCAAGGCGCCAGUGAAAUACCGCCCCUCUUGGCGUUACCACGCUCACUUUGCAAUUCGGGAUUGAGUUAGUAGUUGGGUAAAACCUCUAUUAGUUCUAAAUAGAUAACUCCUCCUCUUUAAGUAAGUACAUCUGAGGGCUGCUGGUGCUAGCAAUAGUAUUAGUAGUUAUUAAGGUCAAUACUCUUAGAGAAAACCGUCGCCCAAGGACAGUUUCAGUUGGGGAGUUUGGCUGGGGCGGCACAUUUGUUAAAAGAUAACGCAAGUGUCCAAAGCGGGGCUCAGUGGGGACAGAAACCUCACGUAGAGUAAAAGGGCAAAAGCCCCGUUGAACGAGCCUUUCAGUACUAGGCUCGGCCGCGAAAGCGUGGCCUAUCGAUCCUUCACCUACCGUGACAUGGUGGUGGAGGUGUCAGAAAAGUUACCACAGGGAUAACUGGCUUGUGGCUGCCAAGCGCUCAUAGCGACGUAGCUUUUUGAUCCUUCGAUGUCGGCUCUUCUUAUCAUUGCGAAGCAGAAUUCGCAAAGUGUUGGAUUGUUCA